Molecule: long non-coding RNA, 213 nt
Filed under: Nicotiana benthamiana
Lineage: Eukaryota; Viridiplantae; Streptophyta; Magnoliopsida; Solanales; Solanaceae
Description: long non-coding RNA (NBEN_LNC011686)
Source: RNAcentral
ACUCCUCACCGGAGAAUCAUGACUUCUCCUCCACACAUGCCUGAACCACCUCAGCCUCGCUUCUCGCAUCUUCUUAUCCUCCAGGGCCACCCUUACCUUCUUUCGAAUAACUUCAUUCUUAAUCUUAUCUAACCUGGUGAGCCCGCACAUCCACCAGAGCAUCCUCAUCUCCGCAACCUUCAUUCUCUGAACAUGAGAGUUCUUUACGGGCCA